This is a long non-coding RNA of Arachis duranensis, 1142 nucleotides long. RefSeq lists it as uncharacterized. The transcript has 5 exons. NCBI's taxonomy places the organism in Eukaryota, Viridiplantae, Streptophyta, Magnoliopsida, Fabales, Fabaceae. The record is from RefSeq and is a predicted model, not a curated record.
AGUCUCAGUCACCUUCAUCCUCGAGCAACAAACCCUCCAUAGCACCCUCUCACUCUCGGUCUCGAUAGCUAACCAUCGUCGCCCCCCACUCUCGGUCUCGAUAGCUCGCCAUUGACCCUCUCACUCUCGGUCUCGCCAUUCACCCUCUCAGUCUCGCCAUUGACCGCCUCACUACAAGCGGAAACCCUCUCACUGUCGCCGUUGAGAGUCAUCGCCUCCCACUCACGACUCACCUGCACUACUCUCCAUAGUGACCGUCGUCAUCUCCUCUUCGCCAUCGCUUGCACUGAUCGUCGCUGUGCGGCCCUCACCAUCGUCGGUGUGCGACCGUCACCAUCGUCGCUGCGCCGCUCUCACCAUCAUCAUCUCCGUGCUUCUCAUCAUCGUCUUCGCUGUGCUCACAUCAUUGAAUAGUUUGAACAGUUUCUUGGUUAGCCAGAAACAGAAAUGGUGUGAAGAAUGUAAAGAAUGAAAAGAAGACAAGGAGUAGAGAAGAAGUAGAAGAGGAAGAAGAAAGGUGAGCUGAAUUAAAUUUCUUCAGAAGACAAAGAAGAAAUACAACUAUUAUUGAAGUCAACUUGCUCUUCUGAAACAACACCCAACUCUUCUGAAACAGAAAUGGUGUGAAGAAUAUAAAGAAUGAAAAGAAGACAAGGAGUAGAGAAGAAGUAGAAGAGGAAGAAGAAAGGAAAGGGAGAUUUAAUAACAUGUUCUAAGCAAAAGAAUUCAGAGUUAUUUCACACGGUUCUUAGAGGCUUAGGACAAUUUGGAGUUAUAACAAGAGCAAGAAUUUCUCUUCACCCAGCACCCACAAAGGGUUCUUGGCCACAUCGCAGGCGAACACUGGAGAAUUCUGUGCCCCAACUCCACUGGAGCUGAAGAACAGAGCCACGAAAGAGAGCAAAACAGAGACCUUGGGUGCUCUAUUUUCCGAAAGAGCCAUUCCCAUUAUGGAAUAGCCAAACAAGGGUACACUAGUUAUGAAUAUCAUGAGCUAUGUAUAUAUAUAAUAUUGAUAUAACAUGCUUAAACUAGUCCGUGAAACUCAGCAACCUCUUUUUCUUUUUUUACUUGAGACACUCAUUUUGUUUGGAUGCUCAACUUGCACCACAGAUAUAAUCCAUGAUAUUGGUUACAUUAAG